This 443-nucleotide ribosomal RNA is filed under the name uncultured bacterium. RNAcentral describes it as "partial 16S ribosomal RNA". It matches the Rfam family "Bacterial small subunit ribosomal RNA", at positions 338 to 795 of the family's 1533-position model. The record is from RNAcentral.
CCUACGGGUGACAGCAGUGGGGAAUAUUGGGCAAUGGGCGCAAGCCUGACCCAGCAACGCCGCGUGAAGGAAGAAGGCUUUCGGGUUGUAAACUUCUUUUCUCAGGGACGAAGAAAGUGACGGUACCUGACUAAUAAACCCCGGCUAACUACGUGCCAGCAGCCGCGGUAAUACGGAGGGGGCAAGCGUUAUCCGGAUUUACUGGGUGUAAAGGUAGCGUAGACGGCAGCGCAAGUCCGAAGGGAAAGCCCGGGGCUCAACCCCGGGACUGGUUUGGAAACUGUGAGGCUAGAGUGCGGGGGGGGCAGGCGGAAUUCCUGGUGUAGCGGUGAAAUGCGUAGAUAUCAGGAGGAACACCGGCUGCGAAGGCGGCCUGCUGGACCGUAACUGACGUUGAGGCUCGAAAGCGUGGGGAGCAAACAGGAUUAGAUACCCUUGUAGUC